This 1403-nucleotide ribosomal RNA is filed under the name uncultured bacterium. Its description in RNAcentral is "bacterial SSU rRNA". It matches the Rfam family "Bacterial small subunit ribosomal RNA". The record is from RNAcentral.
UAGAGUUUGAUCCUGGCUCAGGAUGAACGCUAGCUACAGGCUUAACACAUGCAAGUCGCGGGGCAGCAUUUAUGUUUGCUUGCAAAUAUAAGAUGGCGACCGGCGCACGGGUGAGUAACACGUAUCCAACCUGGCCCUUACUACGGCAUAGCCCUCCGAAAGGAGGAUUAAUUCCGUAUGUGGUCCUACGCAGGCAUCUAAAUAGGAUUAAAGGUUUGGCGGUAAGGGAUGGGGAUGCGUCUGAUUAGCUAGUCGGCGGGGUAACGGCCCACCGAGGCAACGAUCAGUAGGGGUUCUGAGAGGAAGGUCCCCCACACUGGAACUGAGACACGGUCCAGACUCCUACGGGAGGCAGCAGUGAGGAAUAUUGGUCAAUGGGCGAGAGCCUGAACCAGCCAAGUAGCGUGCAGGAUGACGGCCCUAUGGGUUGUAAACUGCUUUUAUGCGGGGAUAAAAGACAUCACGUGUGGUGUAUUGCAGGUACCGCAUGAAUAAGGACCGGCUAAUUCCGUGCCAGCAGCCGCGGUAAUACGGAAGGUCCGGGCGUUAUCCGGAUUUAUUGGGUUUAAAGGGAGCGCAGACGGUCUUUUAAGCGUGCUGUGAAAUAUUGCGGCUCAACCGUAAGAUUGCAGCGCGAACUGGUAGACUUGAGUUCGCUGGAGGUACGCGGAAUUCGUGGUGUAGCGGUGAAAUGCUUAGAUAUCACGAAGAACUCCGAUUGCGAAGGCAGCGUACCGUGGCGUUACUGACGUUCAUGCUCGAAAGCGCGGGUAUCGAACAGGAUUAGAUACCCUGGUAGUCCGCGCGGUAAACGAUGGAUGCCCGCUGUUCGGCCAUUAUGGUUGAGCGGCCAAGCGAAAGCGUUAAGCAUCCCACCUGGGGAGUACGCCGGCAACGGUGAAACUCAAAGGAAUUGACGGGGGCCCGCACAAGCGGAGGAACAUAUGGUUUAAUUCGAUGAUACGCGAGGAACCUUACCCGGGCUUGAACUGCAGGAGAACGAUUCAGAGAUGAUGAGGUCCUUCGGGACUCCCGCGGAGGUGCUGCAUGGUUGUCGUCAGCUCGUGCCGUGAGGUGUCGGCUUAAGUGCCAUAACGAGCGCAACCCCUGCUUUCAGUUGCCAUCGGGUAAUGCCGGGCACUCUGGAGGGACUGCCGCCGCAAGGUGGAGGAAGGUGGGGAUGACGUCAAAUCAGCACGGCCCUUACGUCCGGGGCUACACACGUGUUACAAUGGGGGGUACAGAGGGCCGGCCGCCGGCGACGUCGGUCAAAUCCCGAAAGCCUCUCCCAGUUCGGACUGGAGUCUGCAACCCGACUCCACGAAGCUGGAUUCGCUAGUAAUCGCGCAUCAGCCAUGGCGCGGUGAAUACGUACGCGGGCCUUGCACUCACCGCCCGUCAAG